Molecule: ribosomal RNA, 492 nt
Filed under: uncultured bacterium
Lineage: Bacteria
Description: partial 16S ribosomal RNA
Rfam family: Bacterial small subunit ribosomal RNA
Source: RNAcentral
AGUGAACGCUGGCGGUAGGCCUAACACAUGCAAGUCGAACGGCAGCACAGUAAGAGCUUGCUCUUACGGGUGGCGAGUGGCGGACGGGUGAGGAAUACAUCGGAAUCUACUUUUUCGUGGGGGAUAACGUAGGGAAACUUAGGCUAAUACCGCAUACGACCUACGGGUGAAAGCAGGGGAUCUUCGGACCUUGCGCGAUUGAAUGAGCCGAUGUCGGAUUAGCUAGUUGGCGGGGUAAAGGCCCACCAAGGCGACGAUCCGUAGCUGGUCUGAGAGGAUGAUCAGCCACACUGGAACUGAGACACGGUCCAGACUCCUACGGGAGGCAGCAGUGGGGAAUAUUGGACAAAGGGCGCAAGCCUGAUCCAGCCAUACCGCGUGGGUGAAGAAGGCCUUCGGGUUGUAAAGCCCUUUUGUUGGGAAAGAAAAGCAGCAGGUUAAUACCCCGCUGUUCUGACGGUACCCAAAGAAUAAGCACCGGCUAACUUCGUG